RNAcentral lists this transfer RNA (66 nucleotides) under Perisphaerus sp. 3 ZQW-2023b. RNAcentral describes it as "tRNA-Asp". Lineage: Eukaryota; Metazoa; Arthropoda; Insecta; Blattodea; Blaberidae. The record is from RNAcentral.
GAAGAAUUAGUUAAUAAUAACAUUAGAUUGUCAAACUAAAGUAAUCAUAUUAAAUGAUAUUCCUCA